Molecule: ribosomal RNA, 429 nt
Filed under: Pseudomonadota bacterium
Lineage: Bacteria; Pseudomonadati; Pseudomonadota
Description: Proteobacteria bacterium partial 16S ribosomal RNA
Rfam family: Bacterial small subunit ribosomal RNA
Source: RNAcentral
UGGGGAAUAUUGGACAAUGGGCGAAAGCCUGAUCCAGCCAUGCCGCGUGUGUGAAGAAGGUCUUCGGAUUGUAAAGCACUUUAAGUUGGGAGGAAGGGCAGUAAGCGAAUACCUUGCUGUUUUGACGUUACCGACAGAAUAAGCACCGGCUAACUCUGUGCCAGCAGCCGCGGUAAUACAGAGGGUGCAAGCGUUAAUCGGAAUUACUGGGCGUAAAGCGCGCGUAGGUGGUUCGUUAAGUUGAAUGUGAAAGCCCCGGGCUCAACCUGGGAACUGCAUCCAGAACUUGCGAGCUAGAGUAGGGCAGAGGGUGGUGGAAUUUCCUGUGUAGCGGUGAAAUGCGUAGAUAUAGGAAGGAACACCAGUGGCGAAGGCGACCACCUGUGCUCAUACUGAAACUGAGGUGCGAAAGCGUGGGGAGCAAACAGG